This 1090-nucleotide long non-coding RNA is filed under the name Junco hyemalis (dark-eyed junco). RNAcentral describes it as "lncRNA (ENSJHYG00000002228.1)". The record is from RNAcentral. Lineage: Eukaryota; Metazoa; Chordata; Aves; Passeriformes; Passerellidae.
UUCUGUCCGCAGCCCCUGAACGGGUCGCUGACGCUGGAGUUGGUGAACGAGAAGUUCUGGAAGCUCAGCAAACCCCUGGAGCUCUACUACGCCCCCACCAAGGAGCAGAAAUAGCCAAAAACGCCCAAAACGCCCCAAAAUCCAACCUGGGGACACCGAAAUACCCCAAAAUUUAAUUUGGGGACACUGAAAUACCCCAAAAUCCAACCUGGGGACACCAACAUUCAAUCUGGGGACACAAAAAUGUCCCAAAAUUCAAUUUGGGGACAUUGAAAUGCCCCAAAAUCCAACCUGGGGGGACACAAAAAUGUCCCAAAAUUCAACUUGGGGGACCCCAAAAUCCAACCUGGGGACACCGAAAUACCCCAAAAUUUAAUUUGGGGACAUUAAAAUAUCCCAAAAUCGAACCUGGGGACCCCGAAAUCCAAUUUGGGGACACCAGAAUACCCCAAAAAUUCAUCCUGGGGAUCCCAAAAUUCAAUCUGGGGACACCAAAAUACCCCAAAAUUUAAUUUGGGAACACUGAAAUACCCGAAAAUCCAACCGGGGGACACCGAAAUCCAACCUGGGGACACCGAAAUUCAAUUUGGGGACACAAAAAUAUCCCAAAAUUCAAUUUGGGGACACCAAAAUACCCCAAAAUUCAAUUUGGGGACAUUAAAAUACCCAAAAUCCAACCGGGGGAUCCCAAAAUUCAAUUUGGGGACACUGAAAUAUCCCAAAAUUCAAUUUGGGGACACCAAAAUACCCCAGAAUUCAAUUUGGGGGCACAAAAAUGUCCCAAAAUCCAAUUUGGGGACACCAAAAUCCAACCUGGGGACACAGAAAUUUCCCAAAAUUAAAUUUGGGAACCCCAAAAUCCCCUCCCAGGGGGGCUCAGAUUUGGGUGGGAAUUUUGGGGAAUUUUUGGGUGAAAUUUUCAGUAAAUUUCAGGAAUUUUUGGGUGAAAUUUUCAGUAAAGUUCAGGAAUUUUUGGGUGAAAGUUUCAGUAAAUUUCAGGAAUUUUUGGGUGAAAAUUUCAGUAAAGUUCAGAAAUUUUUGGGGAAUUUUUGGGUGAAAUUUUCAGUAAAUUUGAAGAAUUUUUGGGGGA